RNAcentral lists this transfer RNA (91 nucleotides) under Ilyonectria sp. RNAcentral's name for it is "tRNA-Ser". Lineage: Eukaryota; Fungi; Ascomycota; Sordariomycetes; Hypocreales; Nectriaceae. The record is from RNAcentral.
AGAGAAUUGGCCGAGCGGUUUAAGGCGGUAAGCUUGAGUCUUAUUAGGUUAACUAAAAUUAGCCACAUCCGUUCAAAUCGGAUAUUCUCUG